GUUACACUAGAUCAAUAAGAAUAUCAACACCUUACCACUGAUACAGAAAAUCAAAAGUUUGUAGAAAUCGUAAAACAACCAAUGGAGUUCAUUUUUAAAAUAAAUUCGUUUAUCUGAAAAUAUAUAUUUUUUUUAACUCACCUGUAAGUUCCUAAAUGUCAUUUAUGAAGAUAAGAAUCAAAAUAGUAAUUCACACUACGCAUUCUAAAAGACUAACAACA
Molecule: long non-coding RNA, 221 nt
Filed under: Carica papaya (papaya)
Lineage: Eukaryota; Viridiplantae; Streptophyta; Magnoliopsida; Brassicales; Caricaceae
Description: long non-coding RNA (CPAP_LNC006482)
Source: RNAcentral